GAUGAACGCUGGCGGCGUGCCUAAUACACGCAAGUCGAGCGAACGGACGAGAAGCUUGCUUCUCUGAUGUUAGCGGCGGACGGGUGAGUAACACGUGGAUAACCUACCUAUAAGACUGGGAUAACUUCGGGAAACCGGAGCUAAUACCGGAUAAUAUUUUGAACCGCAUGGUUCAAAAGUGAAAGACGGUCUUGCUGUCACUUAUAGAUGGAUCCGCGCUGCAUUAGCUAGUUGGUAAGGUAACGGCUUACCAAUGCAACGAUGCAUAGCCGACCUGAGAGGGUGAUCGGCCACACUGGAACUGAGACACGGUCCAGACUCCUACGGGAGGCAGCAGUAGGGAAUCUUCCGCAAUGGGCGAAAGCCUGACGGAGCAACGCCGCGUGAGUGAUGAAGGUCUUCGGAUCGUAAAACUCUGUUAUUAGGGAAGAACAUAUGUGUAAGUAACUGUGCACAUCUUGACGGUACCUAAUCAGAAAGCCACGGCUAACUACGUG
This 497-nucleotide ribosomal RNA is filed under the name uncultured bacterium. RNAcentral describes it as "partial 16S ribosomal RNA". It matches the Rfam family "Bacterial small subunit ribosomal RNA", at positions 28 to 507 of the family's 1533-position model. The record is from RNAcentral.